UACGAGUGCUCCAAGCGUUAUCCGGAAUUAUUGGGCGUAAAGGGUGUGUAGGCGGUUUUGUUAGUCUGUUGUUAAAGCUCCCCGCUUAACGGGGAAAAUGCAAUAGAAACGGCAAAUCUAGAGGAUGCGAAAGGUGAACAGAACUCAUAGUGUAGGGGUGAAAUCCGUUGAUAUUAUGGGGAAUACCAAAUGCGAAGGCAGUUCACUGGCGCACUCCUGACGUUGAAACACGAAAGCGUGGGUAGCGAAUGGG
Molecule: ribosomal RNA, 253 nt
Filed under: uncultured bacterium
Lineage: Bacteria
Description: partial 16S ribosomal RNA
Rfam family: Bacterial small subunit ribosomal RNA
Source: RNAcentral